UACAGAGAAAAGAGGCCUCUGCUAGCAGGGAAAACAUACGCGUUGUUGAUAAAACAUUCUUGAUUUGUAAAAAGGAUUUGGAUACAUUUUCAAACAGACUUGAUUGUAAUCAUCAGUUAUUAAUGGAAUUUUUGCCGAAAUUUUCUUUGGAAGUUAAUAGCAUUUUCAUCAAUUCUGCGGUUUUUGGAAAUUCAGGAUAUUAUGAGUCAGGUGACUAAGUUGAAUGGGGAGAAAUUAAUUUCGUUAUCACAGCUUCCUCGAUUUGUUUCUUCGCAGUUUGUUUCUCAUUUGCGUGGUAUCCCCUAGUUGCUCGAACGAACGCAGCGAGCGAGAGCAAAACUAAUCUUGCCUUGCCAAGCCGAAAUAGCUAAAAAAAUUCAACUCAUAUCGAUUUGGGUCUCCUGUGGAACAAGACACCGCCAUCUUGAAAAUCAAAUCACCCUCCCGUCCCCCACAAAACAAUUUGUGGAUGCGUGCUGGAUUUGGACGUUGUGCACAGGGAGCUCACCAAUACAGUUUGAAUUGAGUUAGAGUUGUUUCUUUAGCUUUGCGCUGUUGAUUAUUUUUGGUGCGUGUGUGCGUUUGUAUCUCUUGUAACUACUUUUUCGGCGCCCGGUGCUUUCUGGCGCUCUCUCAUUGGUUAGCAGUUUAACGGCCGUCUCGACUGCGAAAUGGCUUUCGUGUCAAAUUCCUAAAAUGAGGGGGUAAAUAGUAAGCAUUCAUUCAGUGUUAUUUAAUGAGACUUGUGUAGAAAGGGAAAUGUAAAAUCAAUCAGAAUAAUCUCAUUUCUCUACCCCGCUUCUCGGCCCUCCUAAUAUCAGACAUAAAAUUGUUAUUUUUUAUUCGAUACUGGGUUUGCAGUAGUUUAUAUUUUGAGUCUGUUUUUCCACAGCAAUGUCCAGUCCAGAACUUUGCAAAUCAGUGCCCAAGAAAUAAAACAAAAUUGAUUGCUACAUUUUAUUUAAACCAAGGCAAACACAGGCACGACACAGACACAGAGAUUCUUUAGAAAUCAGUGGGCUCCAGUGAAUAAUGCAGUCUACUUACAUGCAGAAGCUAUUAUUAGGGAGAAGCAGGAACUCAUAAAUUCUGUAUAGUUCACUAUAUGUAAACACAUGAGCAGUGAUCAUUUCGGUAGCUAUUAUCAUGGCCACCACUUAGACCCAAAUAGCUUACUGGGUAUGUACGGGCAUGCAGCUCGGGGUUGUGCCCCUCUCACUCAAUCACCAAAAAGCAGUCUUUUUUAAAUAUACUUACUCUCCAUAAUAUCCAUAUGACUGCACAUCCCCUCUACAGCUAAUCCGAUUGUUUGUUAUGGUUAUCAGACUUGCCCUCAAUGCCUUCAAUUAAAUGGUUUCUUUUGUUUAAUAAAAUAAGACUAUAGUCUUAUUUUAUUAAACUGUUUUUGUUUUAUUUACUGUUAGUUUCAGGGAGUUAUUUUUACUCCACUCAGAGAGUAAAAACUACUCUUUGCGAUGGAGUACUUUUAAAGGAGUAAUUUGAACUCCUUUAUUGGAGUAAAAACUACUCCACUGAGGAGUAUUUUUUUUGUUUACUCCCUUAACGGAGUAAGUUUUACUCUGCUAAGAAUUAGUAUCGAAUGUUUCUUAGAAAAAGAGUGAUUUUCACUCUUGUUGGUCAAAUAAUGGAGUAAAAAGUACUCUUUUUUGGGGGGGUAAUUUUAGCAGAGUAAAAGCUACUCCAACUAUCUGAAGUGAAAAGAGUUAUUUUUACUCCAGAUGGUCAAGAAAUGGAGUAAACAAGUACUCCUUUGAGGGGGUAGGUUUUGAAGAGUAAAAACUACUCCAGCUAUCUCGUGUUGAAAGAGUAGUUUUUACUCCAGCUGUAUCUUUUUAGAGCAGUAACAAACCACACCAAAUAUAUAAAAUAAAGCGAGUUGUUUUUUUACUCUGAAUUAGCUGAAUUUAAGAAGGAAAACGAUAGUCUUUAUUAUAUAAGACAACAGAUAAAAAUAAUAAUUUAUCGUAUUUAUUGUUGAGACAAAAAAACUCUACCCUGUGCCUAGGAGUUUCCUAAGAUUUCCUAAGUUCGAUCAAAACAACAAAAUAUGAUUAAACUUCCUAAAAAUUCCUAGGAUUUCCUAGUAUAAGCAGUAGACCAGAAAAUCGGAAUAAUUUGGAUAAGAAAAUCUUAGGAAGAAGAUUUGAAGCAUUCUACAAUUUGGGAACUCUUAGGAAAUUCUUAGGGAAUCCUAAAAGAACAUUUUCAAUACAAGAACAGGCCUCACCAUACUUGCAUAUAUUGUCAGCUAUACUACAACAAUAGGAAAUGUAAUCAAAGACAGGCAUUGGACUCGAACAUGAGUUUUAUGUGGUGUACUUUCAGAAUUCGUUCAGAAUAAUUAGUACUGCAUUGAAAAGAAAGAUAGGUAGGGUGAUAAUUGUAUAAAAUUCUCAGAUCCGAUUUGAACAUUAUAAAAUCAUAUAUAUUGUUUCUAAUAGAAAUGCUACUUGAGAUUAUAAAAAAAAAGAAGUCCCGCUUUGCAGAUAGAAGACGGCUCACCAGGGCCCGUAAAAGCAAAAUGUACCGGGCGUCCCUCGCUUUAGUGGCCGAUAGGGGCUUGGGCCCAAGGCGCAAAAUCAUAACGGUCGAACGAAAGCCAUUAUCACAGCCUCCAAACGGAUAGCCGUUUAUUCCCGUCUUUUCUACGCGUAAUUCACAUUUUUUAAGGAUUUGAUGGCAGAAAAUGGAUUGAAGUAAAAGGACAUUAUGAUAGAGAUAGUAAAAUGUGCUCGAGUUGCAAAGCCAGAAAAGAAAGAAGUUGAAGGUAUAAGGAAUGUAUCAAUGCGUAAAUCGCAAGAAACAAAUAAAAACUUCGUAAACUUAAGUUAUUCACUAAUCACUGUACUUACAUCUAAAGCGCCUAUGCUUUAUAAACUGUUACUUGAAGCACAAAAUUGAAUUACUUAGCUUAGUAAAAACCUAGUAAUCAGUCUUGCACCUAAAAUUUGUCCAGAUGUUUAUUUUGAAUAUCUAAUGUUACUGUAGUUGGUUUUUGUCCGUAUAUUCUGAUCACAGUAAACCCUGCAUAUGAAGAACCUAGUUAUCUUUUCAAGCUAGCCUAUCAGGUUCAAAUUUAAAUGGUGCAUAUAGAGGCAUUAGGCUUCUAGCUUCUUAUCUGAAUAUACAAAGAUGGAGGAGGUGGCAGUUCUUUUGGAAAACCGUAAUGACGACAAAAAGGGUAAUGUUCAAAAGCUGUUAAAGUUGUUAUAGAAAAA
Nematostella vectensis (starlet sea anemone) is the source of this 3239-nucleotide long non-coding RNA. RefSeq lists it as uncharacterized. The record is from RefSeq and is a predicted model, not a curated record. NCBI's taxonomy places the organism in Eukaryota, Metazoa, Cnidaria, Anthozoa, Actiniaria, Edwardsiidae. The transcript is spliced from 2 exons.